UGGGGAAUAUUGGACAAUGGGCGAAAGCCUGAUCCAGCCAUGCCGCGUGUGUGAAGAAGGUCUUCGGAUUGUAAAGCACUUUAAGUUGGGAGGAAGGGCAUUAACCUAAUACGUUAGUGUUUUGACGUUACCGACAGAAUAAGCACCGGCUAACUCUGUGCCAGCAGCCGCGGUAAUACAGAGGGUGCAAGCGUUAAUCGGAAUUACUGGGCGUAAAGCGCGCGUAGGUGGUUUGUUAAGUUGGAUGUGAAAUCCCCGGGCUCAACCUGGGAACUGCAUUCAAAACUGACUGACUAGAGUAUGGUAGAGGGUGGUGGAAUUUCCUGUGUAGCGGUGAAAUGCGUAGAUAUAGGAAGGCACACCAGUGGCGAAGGCGACCACCUGGACUAAUACUGACACUGAGGUGCGAAAGCGUGGGGAGCAAACA
RNAcentral lists this ribosomal RNA (427 nucleotides) under uncultured bacterium. Its description in RNAcentral is "partial 16S ribosomal RNA". It matches the Rfam family "Bacterial small subunit ribosomal RNA", at positions 355 to 774 of the family's 1533-position model. The record is from RNAcentral.